UGCAUCCCCUUGGGCCGUUAGACUUUGGCAAGUCUGGGGAUGAAGCAAGGCUGCACAUGUUCAUGAGAAGAAAUGACCUUCCCAUCCUGAAUCUCCUUGGUGAUGGUGCAUAUUUUAACCAGUAUCCGGGACGGGGGUCCACAGACGUUGUACCGCUUGAGUAUCCCAUUAGGGGCUGAGGAUGUGAAAACUGGGGCGGUGCAUUCCACGGUGCUGGGCUUGGAGGAUGUGCAAGUGGAAGGCUUGCAUUGGGUGGCACACGGGUUACAGGGAAGC
Molecule: long non-coding RNA, 276 nt
Filed under: Marmota monax (woodchuck)
Lineage: Eukaryota; Metazoa; Chordata; Mammalia; Rodentia; Sciuridae
Source: RNAcentral